Molecule: ribosomal RNA, 808 nt
Filed under: uncultured Mycobacteriaceae bacterium
Lineage: Bacteria; Bacillati; Actinomycetota; Actinomycetes; Mycobacteriales; Mycobacteriaceae
Description: SSU rRNA
Rfam family: Bacterial small subunit ribosomal RNA
Source: RNAcentral
AAGUCGAACGGAAAGGCCCUUCGGGGUGCUCGAGUGGCGAACGGGUGAGUAACACGUGGGUGAUCUGCCCUGCACUCUGGGAUAAGCCUGGGAAACUGGGUCUAAUACCGGAUAGGACCAUGGGAUGCACGUCUUGUGGUGGAAAGCGUUUUGUAGCGGUGUGGGAUGGGCCCGCGGCCUAUCAGCUUGUUGGUGGGGUGAUGGCCUACCAAGGCGACGACGGGUAGCCGGCCUGAGAGGGUGUCCGGCCACACUGGGACUGAGAUACGGCCCAGACUCCUACGGGAGGCAGCAGUGGGGAAUAUUGCACAAUGGGCGCAAGCCUGAUGCAGCGACGCCGCGUGGGGGAUGACGGCCUUCGGGUUGUAAACCUCUUUCAAUAGGGACGAAGCGGAAGUGACGGUACCUAUAGAAGAAGCACCGGCCAACUACGUGCCAGCAGCCGCGGUAAUACGUAGGGUGCGAGCGUUGUCCGGAAUUACUGGGCGUAAAGAGCUCGUAGGUGGUUUGUCGCGUUGUUCGUGAAAACUCACAGCUUAACUGUGGGCGUGCGGGCGAUACGGGCAGACUGGAGUACUGUAGGGGAGACUGGAAUUCCUGGUGUAGCGGUGGAAUGCGCAGAUAUCAGGAGGAACACCGGUGGCGAAGGCGGGUCUCUGGGCAGUAACUGACGCUGAGGAGCGAAAGCGUGGGGAGCGAACAGGAUUAGAUACCCUGGUAGUCCACGCCGUAAACGGUGGGUACUAGGUGUGGGUUUCCUUCCUUAGGGAUCCGUGCCGUAGCUAACGCAUUAAGUACCCCGCCUGGG